CAAUUUAUAUAUCGACGUGCAGGAAUGCCUUUAGCGUAUGAAGUUGCACCAAUUUUGAAUAACUCAGAGUCGGUAUAUCAUGUCUAGAUAUUUAUGUAGUUUUCAACGGUUAGUAGAAAGUUUGAAAUUAUUUUAAAUAUAGUCAUGAUGCGUGAAUAUCUAGAUGCGCGUACCCUAACUUGUCUAGAAUUGUCCAACACCGCAAAUUGUCCAAUUUUAUCUCCAGAAAAAAUGGAUGCUUUUUAGGAACAGAAAUCAAGUUUUUACAAGUUUUCGAUAUUUCGAUUUUAUAUUGAAAAUUGUCUUAUUAUAGUUUUAAAAUGUCAUCUUCGCCUUAAAUCGCAAUUACAAAUUUCAAAUUGCAUUCGAGAUAAUCUUCAAUAUGAAAUCGGAUUACGAGAACCGUUCUAGAAGUCCACUUAUGUUCCUUCCUGGAAAACAGCUAUUAUUAACAAUCUCAUUUCAUUAUUACGAAGGAAUAUGAGAAAAACGUGAUAUCCUGUGAAGGCUGCCUUUUUGUAGCUUUCAAUCUACACAGCGGAUACUAGUCUCAACAUACCGAGCGUAUAAUAUACGACUGCAUGCGUGGAAUCUGAUAAGAAGCAAAUAGGGUGGUCGUGACAAAAUGUGCUACAAUAAAACAGUAAAAUCUAUCGGUGCGUUACUCCAGCAGCGAGCACUUCGGCUUGCAUGGGAAAGUUUAGCGACAGAUAUUAAGGAAUCGUAAAAUGAAUUGGCUGUGCGUGUUUAAGGAGAAAAACACGACUGUAGCCAAACCUAACCUUAUCCUUAGGUAGUAUGUAAUUUAUAGUUGAAUCCAUAGCGAAAUGCAGCUGCGCGAUGUCAAGCUGCCGCAUGGAACAUGAGACGGGAGAGAAGCUGCAUCGGUGGUAGUUCACGGAUGCUGAUUACCGAUGUUAUUGACAUUCAGUGACAGAAUAGAAAGAACACCUUGAUGUACUUUCACGCCACAGAAUAAUAAUCCGUUUAACAAGAAGUGAAACACUGCUAUUUUUGUGGCAAUGACAUCGUAGGAAAUGUUACGUGAAACAACAGGAAGUAAGUCGCACGGCGAACGUAAUGUAUGACGAUAUCAUAAAGGAUGCGGGUUCUCAAAGACAUGCAAUAGCAUGACUGUUCGCAAACCAUUCGCAUUCUCGGCGUAUCGAUUUAAAUCGAUGGAAAACGCGUAACGAGGUGGAAUCAUGACUGGCGAAAAAUCAGGACGCGCGAUAUCACCGCAGAAUUGAGAUUGAUCUGAGAUGAACGAGAGCCGAUAACUUUCUGGGCGCGGCAGUACCUCCGAGCAAUUUGAAGACCGGCUGCUGGAUCGCUUAAAUUGUUUCGAAGAAUAGAUCAUCCCACAGCACGUUCUCUACAGGAUGUCUCAGUUAAAUGAGGACAUCAAAAUGCGUUGUUUACCAAUAUGUAUCGUGAAAAUUUUACAAAAAUGUGCCUCAUAUACUUCCGACGAAGUUAAUGAAGAGUGCUGUUAUUAUGCCGCUUCUUUCAAUCCAGGUUGAACGAUCUAUCGAGAAAUCUCUUUCGGCAUACAAUCAAAUCAUGAUUUAUCGACACGCUCUGUACGAUGAGUAAGACUGUCUACUGCCACUGGUAUGGAGAAAGUUAAUUUGUCAUUACUGUCGUGUCUUGCCGUGUAAAAUUUUGAUGCAACUCAUUUUCUUUUGUGCCAAUGUCUCCGAAUAAAUUUUCGCCAUGUUGACGAAAAAAUUAUUUUUUUAGUUGCCGUUUUACGAUCGCAAUGUAUCUUCGUCGAUUCGAAGCGAGGCAACGCUCAUUAGAGCAGUUAAUGUCCUAUAAAAAAAAGGACUCUUUCGUCCAAUCUCUUUCGAUUCAUGAGAUAGGAUCAAGUUUCUAUUUUGUGUGGGAAAGAGAAAGUGUAUACUCCACCGAUACUAAUUUCUUCAUCUCUGUGUAGUCUUGCGUUUAUUCUUUAAAAACGAUGUCAAGACACGCUGCGGUAUAUUAUUUGAGGUCACAGUGGGAAACGUAGAAGGUUAAAUGGCAGGCAAAACGUGGUAAUCGGUUGCGAGGCUAAAGACCACCGGCACUUAGUGCGUUCACUAAGCGAUUUUUACUUCCGUGAUCAGCGAGACGUACGAACGCUAUCUAAGAAUCCAAGACACCGAAGGUAAUUGCGUACACAGCCGCUGCGACGUAUGUAAUUUUGCGGCGCGGUAAUCCCAGAACGAAAUUAACUACGCUACUACGCUACUACCGCGGCAUAUUAAAAAAAAAUUUGAUUUAUUGUGAUUGUAGUUCAACGUAUAAAAAUAUAAUUCGAACGUGUGUAAUACGUCAAGACGUUUUUGCGUGUCUGGAGAGACCUUCGCAGCUUAAAGGAUACACUGUAAGUUCUAUUGAACUCGGAAAUGGUGGCCGCAUCAAUGUUCCUAGUUAACGGGUGACGCCAACCGAGUGAGUCAGCGCACGCACACAUGCAAAGGCGAAACGACUCUAUAACGAGUUAUGAUAAAAAAAGCGCGUCAACUUUCCGACAGCGCGGUAACAUUAACUUUUCGAUUAUGGCCAGUACGAUGGUCUGCAGUGAAAAACGGUUCGCUCGAUAGGGCUUCUGCUUAAAUGUUUCUAAUUCGAGGCAAGCCUUUCCUUGUUCGUGCUGUAUAAAAUUCGCUGCUCAUGGCUUCUAUUCAUCGUGAUUCUGCGCCGCGCGUGAUGGUGACGCAAGAACAACAGCACCGCGGGUUUCCAUCGCGUAUCCUCGCGCGAUCAUGCAUCGCGUGCGCGAUGCAUAUUUCAGGGAUGAUUAUAGUCCCCGUAUAAAAGGAUAUAUACAGUCAUGUAAGAGUCAUCUGAACGCGGCUUGUUGACGAUGCUUAGCGCGGCUUGUUGGACGAUGCUCAGCGCAAACGCAAUUUAAUCUCAUUUUUAAUUCGAUAUGAUUUAAAGAUUGAAUUUUAAUGCAACAUUUAAAUUGCAGAUGCAAUUCUGUACGCGUAUAAAUAAAUUCACAGGACCUGCCGCUCGUAAAUGCACUAGAAGUUAUCCAAGCUGUCCUCGCCUCAUUUUUCAACGCUGAGUUUUUAUCAGCUGUCCCACUGCACGCCACGGUAGAAUAACGUUGGUUUUGUCAACGAUUGGACUUGCGGUUUCGCGCGAGCGUCUUGUAAAUAUUAGAACGGAGAUAACGGAGCAACGCGAGUUAUUCGCCUCUAUGUGACACAACAAAGUAAACUGACGAAUCAACUAUUUGUUUUAUGAUAUAUUGCACGUGCGAAUAGAUAAACGAAAAGAUGAAAUGCAGUCUCUUUUUUUCUGCGAUAAUUGGAUACAAAAAUUUAAUUAAACGAUCAGCGAUACGAUGAUAAAAUUGAUUACCGGAUACUCCGUACAACUGAGCCCAUAAAAUUCCGCAAAGAUCUACUUUCUCUUUAUACGGACAAUUCCACGUGAACUCACUUGACCUCGAACGACCGACUUCAACAUCCACGAAUGUCGUUCAACGGAGCAUCCGCGCGGCGCGAUGCCGGAGUGUCGAUGACUAAAUGAAGCGGAUAAAUAAAAUACGGACUGAAAUUGAAGUAUGAUGGCGAAAUCGGCGUACGAGCGAGGAUCGAUAUGCCCGAGAUAUAGUGCAUACGUGACAAAUGUGUAAUUAACUUGUGAGGCUUCUUCGCUUUUUACAAUCUUAUUUCAACGAUGACAGAAAAUAUUGUUUUCUAACUGCGACUUUAACGAAUAUCAUUCAGAACUGAAAUACUAUUGAACAUAAAAUACCGAUGCAGAGGAAUUUUUAUACGACAGUUUAGCCCUUUACGCUACCAAUAUGCAAUGACAUUUUCAUCCAAAAAAAUCAGCGCGAUUAUAUCAGAGAUGCAUUAUGCAGAUUAGACUGACAGCAUGUAUCGUAAUUGUUUCAUUGUUUCAUUGUACUCCUUGUUGUAACAAUAACGGGACAAAUAUCACAAUGAAUCUCAGUCACGCAUAGGGAACUGCGAACGACCGAAAAUGGCUCGAGUUGUUAACUUGAAUAAGAAUUUCGAAGAGACGUAAAUCGGCGAGUGAACCAGAUUUCAGUUAGCAACAAUGCACAUAUCGAGAGUUGAGCCUUAGAGAAGUUUCCAAAACUGAAGCAGUCAGAAGCGGUGAACUUUUGACCGAGUAAUCCUUACCAAAAUGCAU
Non-coding RNA from Linepithema humile (Argentine ant), 4164 nucleotides. NCBI's taxonomy places the organism in Eukaryota, Metazoa, Arthropoda, Insecta, Hymenoptera, Formicidae. The record is from RefSeq and is a predicted model, not a curated record.